Molecule: non-coding RNA, 214 nt
Organism: Pelobates cultripes (western spadefoot toad)
Lineage: Eukaryota; Metazoa; Chordata; Amphibia; Anura; Pelobatidae
Source: the annotation of a GenBank genome assembly
CCAAGCGUGGCUCGUUAGUCAGCGUAGCAGGGAUAGCUUAGAGGAAUGAAUUCUGCCAAGACAUUGGGUACCAGCUAUUUACACCAACCUUCAUACCAAGACAUUCGACAGACUAGGGCUGAUGGGCCACUCAUCCACCCCAGCAAUGUGCAGUAAAAGUGAUCCUAUUUUAUGCCACAAAAUGUGAGGACCGUGGUAGAUACACAGACACAAA